This 126-nucleotide ribosomal RNA is filed under the name Escherichia coli. RNAcentral's name for it is "partial 23S ribosomal RNA". It matches the Rfam family "Bacterial large subunit ribosomal RNA", at positions 2809 to 2925 of the family's 2925-position model. Lineage: Bacteria; Pseudomonadati; Pseudomonadota; Gammaproteobacteria; Enterobacterales; Enterobacteriaceae. The record is from RNAcentral.
GACUCCUUGAGAGUCCUGAAGGAACGUUGAAGACGACGACGUUGAUAGGCCGGGUGUGUAAGCGCAGCGAUGCGUUGAGCUAACCGGUACUAAUGAACCGUGAGGCUUAACCUUACAACGCCGAAG